AUGUGUGUCCCGAAGGAGAGGGGAGGUAUGGGAUUCAGAGACUUGCACUGCUUUAAUAUGGCACUUCUAGCUAAACAAUGUUGGAGACUUUUGGCUGAACCAGAAUCACUUUGUGCUAGAGUUUUGAAAGCCAAGCACUUCCCUGAUGGCGACCUUCUUAAUUGCAAUCUUAAGAAGGGUAGUUCUUACACAUGGCAGAGUCUAUGGAGUGGAAUUCAAACUUUUAAAAAAGGGCAUAUAUGGAGGGUAGGGGACGGCUCUCAAAUAAAUAUAUGGGAGGAUCCAUGGAUCCCAAGUAGUCCUACAAGGAGAGUAAUGACACCGAGAGGCAAUAUUGUUAUCACAAGAGUUUCUGAAUUAAUAGAUGAAGAGAAUAGAGUUUGGGAUGAGCAGUUGCUUAAUGAAUUGUUUUAGCCUAUUGAUGUGCAACGUAUUCUGAACAUUCCCUUGGCCCUGGGAAUGAUGAGUGAUUUUGUCUCUUGGCACUUCAAUAAGAAUGGUAUUUUCUCUGUAAGGUCAGCUUAUUAUGAAGAAUGGGAACACCAACAUGGACGAAAGUUGAGAAUGACAAACUCAGUUCAAUCCUCAAGUACUAGUCCUAUUUGGAGAACCAUUUGGAAAUUAUGUGUGCCGGCCAAGAUAAAAAUUCAUGCGGGGAGAGCUUUACUUGGAGCUAUCCCUUGCAUGGGGGUUCUAGCUAACAGACAUAUGAUUACUAGCUCGCAGUGUCCUCUCUGUACUGCUGAUUGUGAAAGUAUCAAACAUGCCCUCUUCUUAUGCCCUAGGGUCCAGGAAGUAUGGCGCAUCCUGGGGCUGGGACAUAUGGUAAUUGAAGUAUGUGCUGCUGCAGAUUGUGAAUUUAUUUUUGUCCAGGAGCAGUUUGCAGCCUUUGAUGUCAGGGGUCCAACGUAA
RNAcentral lists this ribosomal RNA (912 nucleotides) under Triticum aestivum (bread wheat). RNAcentral describes it as "partial small subunit ribosomal RNA". Lineage: Eukaryota; Viridiplantae; Streptophyta; Magnoliopsida; Poales; Poaceae. The record is from RNAcentral.